RNAcentral lists this ribosomal RNA (2889 nucleotides) under bioreactor sludge metagenome. Its description in RNAcentral is "bacterial LSU rRNA". It matches the Rfam family "Bacterial large subunit ribosomal RNA". The record is from RNAcentral.
CAAGCAUAUAGUGGAUGCCUUGGCUUGUUUGGACUAAGAAGGACGCACUAGACCGCGAAAGUCGUCGGGGAGCUGCCAAGAAGCUACGAUCCGACGGUGUCCGAAUGAGGUAACUCACCAUACCGAAAAGUAUGGUACCCCUCCUCUUUGAGGAGUGGGAGAUUACCCGGGGAACUGAAAUAUCUAAGUACCCGGAGGAAAAUAAAUCGCAUGAGAUUCCCUUAGUAAGCGACGAGCGAACAGGGAACAGCCCAAACCGGAAUUUAUUCCGGGGUUGUAGGACCUCAACAUUGGAUCUUUGAAGAUAGCAGAACUCGGUGGAAUACGAGACCACAGAACGUGACAGUCGUGUACGCGAAAUCUGAGAAGACCAUAGAGGAUUCCUGAGUAAGUUAGGAGACGGCAAACUCCUUUCUGAAUCUGGGGUGACCACACUCCAAGGCUAAAUACCAAACAAGACCGAUAGUGAACGAGUACCGUGAGGGAAAGGUGAAAAGAAGGGUGGAAGACCCCGUGAAAUAGUACCUGAAACUAUAUGCUAACAAUCAGACAGAGCCCUUCGGGGUGAUGUCGUGCCUAUUGAAGAAUGAGCCGGCGAGUGAAUGCAAUGUGCAAGCAUAAGAUAUCUUAAUAUUGUAUGCGUAGUGAAAGCGAGCCUGAAUAGGGCGCCUAGUACAUUGUUUUCGACCCGAAACCGGGUGAGCUUACCAUGGCCAGGGUGAAACCUCAGUAACAUGAGGUAGAGGCCCGCACCGGUGUGUGCUGCAAGACGCUCGGAUGAGCUGUGGUAAGAGGUAAUAUGCCAAUCGAACCCGGAGAUAGCUGGUUCUCCCCGAAAUAUAUUUUGGUAUAGGGUCACGUUAAGUUGCGAGGGGGUAGAGCUCUGAUCAGAUGUCUGGGCAGCAAUGUCUAGCAUCCAGUUAAACUUCGAAUACCUCGUUUAUGUUCCGUGGCACUCAGUAUCUGGGGGCUAAGCUCCAGAGGCAAAAGGGAAACAUCCCAGAUCUACGACUAAGGUCUCAAAUAUUUGUUCAGUGGAAAAAGAAGUGUUAUUCCUAAGACACCUAGGAGGUCGGCUCAGAAGCAGCCAUCCUUGAAAGAAAGCGUAACAGCUCACUAGCCGAGGAAUAGCGCGCUGAAAAUGUAACGAGGCUCAAACAAAUAACCGAAGUCUAGAAUUUUAUCCAUAUUUAUAUGGAGGAAGUGGUAGGGGAGCGUUCUGUGUGCUGUGAAGCCAUCCCGUGAGGAGAAUGGUGGAGCGAUCAGAAGUGCGAAUGCCGGCAUGAGUAGCGAAAUGGGAGUGAAAAUCUCCCACCCCGUAUGUCCAAGGUUUCCGCACCCACGUUCGUCGUGUGCGGGUGAGGCGACCCUAAGGUGAGGCCAAUUGGCGUAGCCGAUGGAUUACUGGUUGAUAUUCCAGUCCUUGGUAACAUUCGUUCGACUUGGGGAGGGACGGUGAUGGAUACCGUGUGUGUAGAUGUGAAUUCUGCAUCAAAUCAGUGAGACAGUCUCUAUAGGCAAAUCCGUAGAGGCGUUUAUUCGAGCUGUGAUAGAGCGAGGAGGCUUCGGCCAAAUUGCUACACGCGACUUCAUUGCCCUGGAAAAGCUUCGCAAGGAGAAUGUUAUCAAAUCGUACCGAUAACCGACACAGGUGGACGAGUCGAGUAGACUCAGGGGAGCGAGAGAAGGUAGUUCAAGGAACUCGGCAAAAUAGCUGGGCGUAAUUUCGAAAGAUGCCCUUCCUGAUACGCAAGUAUUGGGACACAGCAAAAGACGUGAGAUUGACUGUUUACCAAAAACACAGGUCCGUGCAAACUCGAAAGAGGCAGUAUACGGGCUGAAACCUGCCCAGUGCCGGAAGGUUAAUUGAGGGGGUGGUAGCGCAAGCUACUGCUUCCAAUCGAAGCCCCGGUGAACGGCAGCAGUAACUAUAACUGUUCUAUGGUAGCGAAAUUCCUUGUCGCUUAAUUGGCGACCUGCACGAAAGGCUCAACAAGUCUCACACUGUCUUGAACUAUUACUCGGCGAAAUUGAAAUGGCUGUGAAGAUGCGGCCUACUGGCGGCAGGACAAAAAGACCCCAUGAAGCUUUACUACAACUUGACACUGUGAUUUUUCUUGGAUUUGUCUAGGAUAGGUGGGAGAGUCCUCAUUUAGUGUGGGCUCGUCGGUGUAAUACCACUCGAUUCAUUUAAAAUCACUCACCCGAUGCCAAUGCAACUUGGCAGGAGACACUGUUUGGUGGGUAGUUUAACUGGGGAGGUUGCUUGCUAAAGAGUAACGCAAGCGCGCAAUGGUACCCUUGGCCCGGAUGGAAAUCGGGCUGGACGUGCAAUAGCAUAAGGGUGCUUCACUGUGAGGCCAACAUGCCGAGCAGAUGCGAAAGCAGGUUAUAGUGAUCCUCGUGCACUUUGUGGAAGGUGCCGGGCUUAACGGAUAAAAGCUACUCUGGGGAUAACAGAGUCAUCGCGCCUAAGCGUCCCUAGCGUCGGCGCGGUUUGCUACCUCGAUGUCGGCUCAUCGCAUCCUGGGGCUGAAGAAGGUCCCAAGGGUUAGUCUGUUCGCCUAUUAAAGCGGUACGCGAGCUGGGUUCAGACCGUCGUGAGACAGGUCGGCCUCUAUCCGCCGUCAGCGUUGGAUUUUUGAGGAAGUUUGCCCUUAGUACGAGAGGACCGGGGUGAGGUAAUCCCUGGUGUUCCUGUUGUCGCUGUCAAGCGCAUUGCAGGGUAGCCACAUUACUAUCGGAUAACCGCUGAAAGCAUCUAAGCGGGAAGCCAAUUCCAAGAUGAGAAAUCCCUAUAGAUUCCUGGGAGACUACCAGGUUGAUAGGCAGGAGAUGUACGGCUGGCAACAGCUUAAGUUUACCUGUACUAAAUAUCAAUUGAACACG